UCCGUACCAUAUGCAUAUAUUAGUGGCGGCAUCACGCAUAUGCUAACUGCGGUAGUUUCUGGUCACUUCUAGGUUUCGAAUUCCAACUUCCAGAACCCUCCACUCUGAUAAAUGAAUACAUAUGUGAUACCAUUUGAUGUAAUGAUACGAUUUUUUACAUUUUUAAAAGAAAUAAAUUUAAAUCUAAAUAAUAAUAAUUUCAUUAAGUAAAAUGAAGAUAAAAAUGAAAGAAAAACAAAUAUGGGGUCACUAAAAAAAAGUAAAUACCGAUGUGAUUGAAAAUAAAAUAGCGAUCAGGAUUUAGAUUACCUAUCCGUCGUUGACGUACGCGUCAGACAACAGAAUCAUGAUUAGUCCUAAAAAAACCCUCCCGAAUUUAAUCCUAGCUUUCCGCAUCGCCGCGUGGACUGGACUUCGACGACUCACCG
Molecule: long non-coding RNA, 428 nt
Filed under: Gossypium barbadense (sea-island cotton)
Lineage: Eukaryota; Viridiplantae; Streptophyta; Magnoliopsida; Malvales; Malvaceae
Description: long non-coding RNA (GBAR_LNC008562)
Source: RNAcentral